Long non-coding RNA from Labrus mixtus (cuckoo wrasse), 522 nucleotides. RefSeq lists it as uncharacterized. Lineage: Eukaryota; Metazoa; Chordata; Actinopteri; Labriformes; Labridae. The transcript is spliced from 3 exons. The record is from RefSeq and is a predicted model, not a curated record.
GUUCUGUCAGCCUCGCUCCGGUCUGCUCACCUGUGUGAGGUGUGUUGACCUGCUCGGUGUGCUCACCUGUGUGAGGUGUGUUGACCUGCUCGGUGUGCUCACCUGUGUGAGGUGUGUUGACCUGCUCCAGUCUGCUCACCUGUGUGAGGUGUGUUGAACUGCUCGGUGUGCUCACCCGUGUGAGGCUUCAGACAGAGUGGGCGGAACCUGGCUGAUACACACCUGUGAGGACUUGCUGUCACCAGCAGCGGACUAUUGGACUUUAUCAGAAAGUCAGAGUGAGCUGAUGUGAGAACGCAGCAGGAUAUAAUCAGGAGAAUUCAGCUGGAGCGAGUGGGAGGGGGUGGUGAUGUUUAUUCCCUGUGAUCGCUGCACGACCAUAGACUGUCUGCACGCCACCUCUACCAUCUCCGUGCUCUAGUGAACCUGCUGCAUGUGUUUCCUGUUCUCCAGUAUGUUCUUCUCCACUCUUUAGUUCACAUUGAGAUUCUGUUCAACUACACGUAGCAUUGAUAGAAAGAC